This 253-nucleotide ribosomal RNA is filed under the name uncultured bacterium. Its description in RNAcentral is "partial 16S ribosomal RNA". It matches the Rfam family "Bacterial small subunit ribosomal RNA", at positions 524 to 776 of the family's 1533-position model. The record is from RNAcentral.
UACAGAGGGUGCGAGCGUUGUCCGGAAUCACUGGGCGUAAAGGGCGCGUAGGCGGCUCAGUAAGGUUGCGGUGAAAGCCCGGGGCUCAACCCCGGGUCGGCCGUGGCAACUGCUGGGCUGGAGCACUGUAGAGGCAGGUGGAAUUCCGGGUGUAGCGGUGGAAUGCGUAGAGAUCCGGAAGAACACCGGUGGCGAAGGCGGCCUGCUGGGCAGUAGCUGACGCUGAGACGCGAAAGCGUGGGGAGCGAACAGG